GACGAACGCUGGCGGCGUGCCUAAUACAUGCAAGUCUAACGCUUCUUUCCUCCCGAGUGCUUGCACUCAAUUGGAAAGAGGAGUGGCGGACGGGUGAGUAACACGUGGGUAACCUACCCAUCAGAGGGGGAUAACACUUGGAAACAGGUGCUAAUACCGCAUAACAGUUUAUGCCGCAUGGCAUAAGAGUGAAAGGCGCUUUCGGGUGUCGCUGAUGGAUGGACCCGCGGUGCAUUAGCUAGUUGGUGAGGUAACGGCCCACCAAGGCCACGAUGGAUAGCCGACCUGAGAGGGUGAUCGGCCACACUGGGACUGAGACACGGCCCAGACUCCUACGGGAGGCAGCAGUAGGGAAUCUUCGGCAAUGGACGGAAGUCUGACCGAGCAACGCCGCGUGAGUGAAGAAGGUUUUCGGAUCGUAAAACUCUGUUGUUAGAGAAGAACAAGGACGUUAGUAACUGAACGUCCCCUGACGGUAUCUAACCAGAAAGCCACGGCUAACUACGUGCCAGCAGCCGCCGUAA
Molecule: ribosomal RNA, 524 nt
Filed under: uncultured bacterium
Lineage: Bacteria
Description: partial 16S ribosomal RNA
Rfam family: Bacterial small subunit ribosomal RNA
Source: RNAcentral